Leptonychotes weddellii (Weddell seal) is the source of this 551-nucleotide non-coding RNA. The record is from RefSeq and is a predicted model, not a curated record. Lineage: Eukaryota; Metazoa; Chordata; Mammalia; Carnivora; Phocidae.
CUUCCAUCUUGCAAAGGAGGCAGUAGGACUAGAUGAGAAAGCUGGGGACCCAGAGACGCAGAUUUAAGCCUGAGGCUUUCUCUUUGGAGGCCCGACACCCUCUUUCCGGAGCCCUCUGCACCUGUUCACCGGCCGCCUCAGCCGGGUCCUCUCCAGGUGGCUCCACCCGUGAUCUGCAUAGUCCGCUGACACCACUUCAGGCCACCUGAGCAGACUCGGUAUCUGUUGCAAGAUUGGAAAACUGGGGUCCAAGACUAAUGACUGGUUCAAGACCCACAGCGAGUCAAUGACGUGGCCCAGGGUAGACGCAAGGUCUGUGCGCUCGCUGGGCCUCCUCUGGAAUGAGCUGCUGAGUCAGGCUGCGAGGGUCUCUGCUGGCGGUCUCCAGCAGACAGGGACAACUGCCAUCUGGAACGGGAACCACGUAAGGAAAUGAGGUUCAGAGACAUUUAGCGAGUCGUCUAAGGUCACCCACCCAGUAAGUGACAGAGCUUGGAUUGCCAUCUUGCCCUGACUCCAGCACUCUCAUUCUCUACCAUGACACUAAACUC